CAAUAGCGUAUAUUAAAGUUGUUGCGGUUAAAAAGCUCGUAGUUGGAUUUCUGUCUGAGGCGGCCGGUCCACUUUCUGAGUGAGCAUCUGGUCCGCUUUGGGCAUCCUCCUGGGGAACGUUUCCGCGCUUGAUUGUGUGGUACGGAAUCUAGGACUUUUACUUUGAGGAAAUUAGAGUGUUCACUGCAGGCAUACGCCUUGAAUACGUUAGCAUGGAAUAAUAAGAUAGGACCUCGGUUCUAUUUUUUCGGUUUCUAGAGCUGAGGUAAUGAUUAACAGGGAUAGUUGGGGGCAUUUGUAUUAACGCGUCAGAGGUGGAAUUCUUGGAUUGCGUUACGACAAACUACUGCGAAAGCAUUUGCCAAGGAUGUUUUCAUUGAUCAAGAACGAAAGUAUGGGGAUCGAAGACGAUCAGAUACCAU
RNAcentral lists this ribosomal RNA (422 nucleotides) under uncultured eukaryote. RNAcentral's name for it is "SSU rRNA". It matches the Rfam family "Eukaryotic small subunit ribosomal RNA", at positions 592 to 1018 of the family's 1831-position model. The record is from RNAcentral.